AGACCCGAAACCCGGUGAUCUAGCCAUGGGCAGGUUGAAGGUUGGGUAACACUAACUGGAGGACCGAACCGACUAAUGUUGAAAAAUUAGCGGAUGACCUGUGGCUGGGGGUGAAAGGCCAAUCAAACCGGGAGAUAGCUGGUUCUCCCCGAAAGCUAUUUAGGUAGCGCCUCGUGAAUUCAUCUCCGGGGGUAGAGCACUGUUUCGGCUAGGGGGCCAUCCCGGCUUACCAACCCGAUGCAAACUGCGAAUACCGGAGAAUGUUAUCACGGGAGACACACGGCGGGUGCUAACGUCCGUCGUGAAGAGGGAAACAACCCAGACCGCCAGCUAAGGUCCCAAAGUCAUGGUUAAGUGGGAAACGAUGUGGGAAGGCCCAGACAGCCAGGAUGUUGGCUUAGAAGCAGCCAUCAUUUAAAGAAAGCGUAAUAGCUCACUGGUCGAGUCGGCCUGCGCGGAAGAUGUAACGGGGCUAAACCAUGCACCGAAGCUGCGGCAGCGACACUCAGGUGUUGUUGGGUAGGGGAGCGUUCUGUAAGCCUGCGAAGGUGGCCUGUGAGGGUUGCUGGAGGUAUCAGAAGUGCGAAUGCUGACAUAAGUAACGAUAAAGCGGGUGAAAAGCCCGCUCGCCGGAAGACCAAGGGUUCCUGUCCAACGUUAAUCGGGGCAGGGUGAGUCGACCCCUAAGGCGAGGCCGAAAGGCGUAGUCGAUGGGAAACGGGUUAAUAUUCCCGUACUUGGUGUUACUGCGAAGGGGGGACGGAGAAGGCUAUGUUGGCCGGGCGACGGUUGUCCCGGUUUAAGCGUGUAGGUGUGUGUUCCAGGUAAAUCCGGUUCACUUUAACACUGAGGCGUGAUGACGAGGCACUACGGUGCUGAAGCAACAAAUGCCCUGCUUCCAGGAAAAGCCUCUAAGCAUCAGGUAACAUCAAAUCGUACCCCAAACCGACACAGGUGGUCAGGUAGAGAAUACCAAGGCGCUUGAGAGAACUCGGGUGAAGGAACUAGGCAAAAUGGUGCCGUAACUUCGGGAGAAGGCACGCUGACAUGUAGGUGAAGUGAUUUACUCAUGGAGCUGAAGUCAGUCGAAGAUACCAGCUGGCUGCAACUGUUUAUUAAAAACACAGCACUGUGCAAACACGAAAGUGGACGUAUACGGUGUGACGCCUGCCCGGUGCCGGAAGGUUAAUUGAUGGGGUCAGCGCAAGCGAAGCUCCUGAUCGAAGCCCCGGUAAACGGCGGCCGUAACUAUAACGGUCCUAAGGUAGCGAAAUUCCUUGUCGGGUAAGUUCCGACCUGCACGAAUGGCGUAAUGAUGGCCAGGCUGUCUCCACCCGAGACUCAGUGAAAUUGAACUCGCUGUGAAGAUGCAGUGUACCCGCGGCAAGACGGAAAGACCCCGUGAACCUUUACUAUAGCUUGACACUGAACAUUGAGCCUUGAUGUGUAGGAUAGGUGGGAGGCUUUGAAGCGUGGACGCCAGUCUGCGUGGAGCCGACCUUGAAAUACCACCCUUUAAUGUUUGAUGUUCUAACGUGGACCCGU
This 1545-nucleotide ribosomal RNA is filed under the name Salmonella enterica subsp. enterica serovar Infantis. RNAcentral's name for it is "partial 23S ribosomal RNA". It matches the Rfam family "Bacterial large subunit ribosomal RNA", at positions 711 to 2236 of the family's 2925-position model. Lineage: Bacteria; Pseudomonadati; Pseudomonadota; Gammaproteobacteria; Enterobacterales; Enterobacteriaceae. RNAcentral also lists the same sequence under 1 other name. The record is from RNAcentral.